RNAcentral lists this long non-coding RNA (365 nucleotides) under Eucalyptus grandis. Its description in RNAcentral is "long non-coding RNA (EGRA_LNC006728)". The record is from RNAcentral. Lineage: Eukaryota; Viridiplantae; Streptophyta; Magnoliopsida; Myrtales; Myrtaceae.
CCGCCGCCGCACCGCCGCUCGCACGCCCGCGACAGCCGCCCGCUCGUGCGCCCGCCGUCGUCCCGCCGUCUGCGCGCGCCCAGGCGUUCCUCCCCCGUGCGAUCCAGCUCUGCUCAGCUCGGUUCCGCCCUGUUCCGCCCCUGUCCGGCCACCUCCGGCCACCGCCUAGCCCCGCCAGACCUCCCCCGCAACCCCCUCGCCCUCCACCGGCUUCCCCUUGCCGCCCUAGCCGCCGGAGCAGCCCCGAUCAGCUCCGUCCAGCAGACCCAUGAAGUGGGUUUCCAACACUUCGGGCCUACUUUUGGGCCGUUUCCGGGCCCCGGAUCCGUGAAUCGCUUUGGGAACAAUCGUUCCUCGCGUCGCCG